GUCAUUAUGAAGAUUUUAUCAAGGCUUUAUGGAUUGAAAUAAUAAAACCUAAAAUUUCAGUGUCAUUAUGUACAUGUAUAAAACUGUUUUCUCCUUCCAACAUUCUGAUGAAGAUGCUAAUACUAUUCCCAUGUUACAGGCUUAAGAAAAUGGAGGCACAGAGAAGUUUAGAAACUUGCCUAGAAUCACACAGCUAAAAAGCAGAGAGUCAAGAUUUGAACUAAGGGACACAAUUUUGCAAUAACAUAAAUGACUGUCCUCUCUUUACCUAAAAUAUUAAGUCCUCUUCAAUUCUACUGAAGAUCCAGUAGAUACAGAACCAGUGAAAUGAUAGUGAAAUAUUACCUCUCAGUAUAAAAACAAAAGCGUACUCUAACUUUUAGGAGUUGCUCAACAAUAAAACCUGGUAUGAGGUUGGGGUUCCCAGAUACAACCAAACAUCUUCAACACGGGAACUCAGAGCUCAGAGACUGGAUUCAAAUCCUCUUUAAUUUCUUACUAUGUGAUGGUGUCUGAGCCACUCGAAGUUAUCUUUAGCUUCAGUUUCAUGAUUUUAUUUAUUUAUUUUUAACUUUUUAUUUUUAAAUUUUUUUAUCAUUUAUUUAUAUCUAUAUAUUUUAUGCUGUACAGCAUGGUGACCCAGUUACAGUUACAUGUAUACCUUCUUUUUUCUCACAUUACGUGUUCCAUCAUAGGUGACUAGGCAGAAUUCCCAGUGCUAUACAGCAGGAUCCCAUUGCUAAUCCAUCCCGAAAGCAACAUUCUGUAUCUGUUUACCCCAAGCUCCCAGUCCCUCCCACUCCCUCCCCUUCCCCCUUGGCAACCACAAGCCUAUUCUUCAAGUCCAGGAUUUUCUUUUCUGUGGAAAGUUUCCUUUGUGCUGUAUAUUAGAUUCCAGAUAUAAGUGAUAUCAUACGGUAUUUGUCUUUCUCUUUCUGACUUACUUCACUUAGUAUGAGUCUCUAGUACCAUCCAUGUUGCUGCAAAUGGCAUUAUUUUGUUCUUUUUUUAUGGCCGAGUAGUAUUCCAUUGUGUAUAUAUACCACAUCUUCUUAAUCCAGUCAUCUGUCAAUGGACAUUUGGGUUGAUUCCAUGUCUUGGCUAUUGUGAAUAGUGUUUAAAACAAAAUAACAAAAAGGGGAACAAUCAUAACUCUAUAAAUUAUUGUGAUGAUAAGAUAAUUAACAUAACUAACAUAAAGCCCAUGAUUCAUUAUAGAUCACCAAUAAGUUUCAUUUCCUUUCUUCCACUGUCAUAGGACUUGCACAGUAGAGCUUACAAGAGAUCUUACAGGAAUAGGAGAGGUGGAACUAGAUAUUCUUAUUUCAGAAAAGGGAUUAGUUUAGCUACUUGGUGCUGAAAGCGUCACCAUGGAGCCUGUUCCAUUUGCAAAUUCAUGAGCUUUACCCCUGACCUACUGGAUCCAGUCAUUUUGGGGUGGAGUCCAAGCAGCCCUGCUCUCUAGGUGGUUCUCAAGCUCCAUAAACUUUGCCAUGUGCUGGCCUUGGUGACCUCCAGGGACUCUUCCGGCUCUAAUUCUGUGGUUCCAGUUGAUCCCUUCCUCACCACCACCCUUCCAGUAAUUGCUACCAUUGGUUGAAUACCUCUUGUGCUCAAACAUGCAAGUAAAUACUUUGCACGCAUUCCUUUAAUCCUUACACCAGUGGGGUUGGCACUAAUAUCGUCCACAUGGUCCAGAUGAGGAAACUGAGAAGUUAAGGUACUGGCAGACAAAGAUUCCAGUCGGAGUCCAUUUGGAACUCUAGCUUCUAGGCGCUGCUAAGCUAAUCACCACAUAGGGGCUCUCAUAAUUCUAAGAAGGACCCAGUGGGGAGCUAUUUAUAUAUGUCUCAUAAUGCACUGGGAUAAAGACAUUAAUCUAAGAAUCUCAGACAAGUUAUCAAGAAGGCCCAUGUGGAAGGUCAUGGGCUGAUAGCCCAAGUCCUCUCAAGACUAGAAAAAUGCUGUGAGGUCACGCAGCUGCAGAGGAGGGGCUGGGCAUUUCCUCCCAGGGGAAGGCUCCUUGAGAAGCAACCUGGUGGGUGGAGGAGCUGCCUUAAGCGCCCUGCAAUUGAGAAACACAGCUGUAGGUAAUUAUUUGUUCCCAGCUAUAAAUAAAAUAAUCCAAAGAAGAAUGAGGGAGAAAGAGCAGUUGGGGAGCUUCAGGCACGCUUCCCCCAUCAGUUGCUCUUGAUGAUAAAGCAAUGGGGUGGAUUUAACUACUUUCCGCCCCCUACUGCCUUUUUGCUGGUGAUGUCUCUGCAGGGAACAGAUCUUAAAGCAGAAUUUAUGGUCAUCUGAGCCUGCAGAAGGGAUGACUAUACCUGUCUUCCUGUUCCAUGGUCCUGAUGCUGGAGCAACCAGCAGCACAGAUCCAGGGAGUUUCUUGGGUGGAGGGAGGGAGACCUCAUGUGUCACAUCACCCUGGGGCCCUUGCCUCCCCUUUGCAUCUUUUUUAACCACACAGCUGGAACCUUGGCACUGGCCUCAUACAUACACACUGUUCAAUGCAGGUGGGGCCUCCCAGCGGAGACAGUGGUCAAGAUUUCAGAUGAUCGGAGAAGGAGACCCCCCUUGCCCCCCAUCUCAAACCAGCUCCAGUGCCAGAAUUCUAUGAGAACACCAGCCCUUCUUUGGUAAAGCAUUCUUAGUCCUGUAACUGGCAAAUGCUCCUGAAGAUGGAAGUGCAUCAAGCCUUCCCUUUCAUGUGAGCCUUCAUGGUCAGAUGUCACCUAGGCUUCGAUGGCUUCGAGGAGGGAGAAUACAGUGAGGUCCCUGACCCGCACUGCACCCUGCUGCCCUCACCCCAUGCUUGUUGUAAAUUCAGGGCACUGUAAUGAAGGUUAGGAUGGUCCUGCCUGGCUGACAUUUGCUAGGCAGUCUUCCACAGCAAAAUGCAAACUCACAGAAAACUUCACACUGUGAUGCUCUGACAAAUCGUCAGCCAUCCUGACAUCUACCCAGAACACGUUUUGGUUUGAAGCCCCAUUUGAAUGUGGCUCAUGAGGAGCUUGCCUUAGGUAGGGUCAACCUGUGGGCAUCCCGGAGUCUUACCUUGAUGCCUAAGCCUGAAGGAUCCUUGUUCUGAAGAGGGUAAGACUGGAAGAUCCUGCACUGAGUGAGGCCUGAGGAAGUUUUUCUGUUCCUUCGUCCAAGUAUGCCACACACCCUUGAGAAGGGACCACCAGUCUCUGUGGGCCAUGUUGCCUCUCCUUAUGAGGAAUUGAAGUUAAAAGUCCAAAUUGUUACACACUUGUUCCCCAAACAUUACUAUAAAUCAGUAUUUUAAUGAUAUCAGUGAAAUCUCAUAGACUUGUACAUUCAGGGAGUCUUUUGUUAUGUCUGUGGACCUUCAGCUGACUUAGGUUCUCCAGAUUCAGCUUCAUAGUGGGCGACUUGGCAGCUGUGAUCUGAAAUGUGCAGAAUGGGAGCUUGGGUCUGUGGGAAUCCACAGGGCACUCAGUGUGUAAAGGUGACUUUCUAAUUCAGAUCACCCUCAGGACCACCUGGGGUUCCUGGUUAGAACAGACCAUCUUCUAUGAAGCAGAGCACAGCCAUAGGAUUAUUAACCUAAAUGGAAAUGCCAAGUCCUUAUGAGAUGCCCAGAGACGGAUCUGGUACUGACAGUGUCUUGUUGCCCAUCUGCGCCAUGCUCUCCAUGUAAGAUAUAAAUCGCCCUCACCUUUGAUGUGAUCUUCCUGUGUUUCAUCCUAUUUAAAACUCUUGAGGAUUAUUCUCUUAGACCCACAUAGUGAAUGAGAACUGGGGUCCUUGAUUUGGAUGGGGACAUCAGUUUAUAAAAAUGAACAUAGAUAAGUUUGAAACUAAAUAGAUUACAAACUCUUUACUGAAAUGAAAUGAGAGAAAUCAAAUGAGGGGAUUAUCUGGUGAGCCAUCUCCUCAGGUCUAGAUUUUCAGGGAGAGGCCACUUCUCUUGUUUAUAAGCAAGUUUCCUCUUGCACAAGAUUUAAUUGGAGAUGCUAACAUGUGUGGGUGAUGUCUCACCCACAAUAAACCCCAGGGUUGUAUCUGAAUCAUGAACAUUUGGUGGCCUGUGGAAGGGUGUCUGUCUGUCCCAAAGCCUAGACGUCUCUCUUAAUGCCUGCUCUCUGCCUUACCGAGAAAUCACAUCCACCUCUUUGUUCACAUUCUUUCACUCACUCAUUUUUCUCAGGCACUCUAGAGAGAAGGCAGAUCCUGCUCUCGCUGGGUUUACGUUCUUGUGGAAGAGUCAGUUAUAUUCAAUAAACACAUACCAAAAGUCAUGAGAAUAGGAAAGGGCACUAAGAGUGUAACUAGGGCAGAUGGGUUGCCUUUUAGCCACGACAGUCAAGGAGGGUUUGGUUCAGCCAAAGCAAGAGCAAAAGCCCUGGGGCAGGGAUGAGCUUGCUUGUAUAUUUUUCUUUUUAACAAGCUUUUAUAGCUCUUAGCAUGUACCAGGAGCUGACCUAAGCACUUCGCAAAUAAUAUACCAUUUAAUCUUGGAAACACUGGGAUGUAAAUAUUACAUCUUAUAAAUGAUAAAGUUGAAGCACAGAAAGUUUAAGUAGCUUGCCCAGCAUCACACAGCUGGUGUGGAACAAGGAUCUAAACCCAGAUCUGUCCCCAUGGUCUGUGUUCAUAACCGCAUUGCUGGUGGUUCCCAAACUGCUACACAUUGGAACACUUUGGGGAUCUUUAAAAACUACUGAUGCCUGGCUUCUUCCCUCAGCCAUUUGGAUGUAAUCAGAAUGGGCUGAGAGUCAGGCACUGGGCUUGUUUGAAAGCUCCCAGAUGACUGGGACGUGCAACAGAUUUGCAGCCCAAGGGCACAGUGCCAUCCAUUUAACAUUUGAACGUGUGAGAGCCUGAAAGAACACCAGCGUGUCUAGGCUUGAUGAACGAGGGAGUGGCUUUUCCUCCCCUUCCGACCCUGUUGGUUGGCUUUUCCUUGUUUAUGCAUCUGCUAGAAUCAAAAGCAUCCACAUAAAGAAGAGAUAGUCUACUUUGAAUCACGAACGUACUGGUUCUAUCAAUGACACCAUUCGCAUCAGCAGUGAGUGCCUGGUUCUUCCUCCAUUAACGUCCACAGCCCACUUGUGGCCUGACCAAGUGGGGAGAGUGUUCCACAAAGGCCGUCAUAGAUCAGCUUUGCUGGGCAGGGGCAGGGACAGGUGGAGCUGGUUCUUGAACCAAUGACGUCAGCCCACCAUCCCUGAGUGAGCCCAUUUUAUAUUUUUCGUAGAAGUUAAUGCUCAAAGUGAACCCUGAUUCUUCUCAUUUUAUCUAUGAGCUACUUUGUAUUCAUGCUACAAAUUGCUCUUCCAUUCACUAAAAAGUUGGUUGGGGAGGUCCUUUUGUGGCACAGAGGGUUAGGAUCCUGCACUGGCACUGCAGUGGCUUGGAUUGGCACAGGUUUAAUCCCUGGCUCUGGAAUUUCCAUAUGCUAUGGGAGCAGCCCCUCU
This 5444-nucleotide long non-coding RNA is filed under the name Sus scrofa (pig). Its description in RNAcentral is "lncRNA (ENSSSCG00000058103.1)". Lineage: Eukaryota; Metazoa; Chordata; Mammalia; Artiodactyla; Suidae. The record is from RNAcentral.